GGGUGGUCCAAGUGCAGUCUGUUUACAACUAAUUGAUUACAAUCAGUUAAAGAUUCUGUUGUUCUUUCUUCACUCCCACUGCUUUACUUGACUAGACUUAA
Molecule: unclassified non-coding RNA, 101 nt
Organism: Otolemur garnettii (small-eared galago)
Lineage: Eukaryota; Metazoa; Chordata; Mammalia; Primates; Galagidae
Rfam family: Y RNA
About the family: Y RNAs are components of the Ro ribonucleoprotein particle (Ro RNP), in association with Ro60 and La proteins. The Y RNAs and Ro60 and La proteins are well conserved, but the function of the Ro RNP is not known.
Source: Ensembl